This 255-nucleotide ribosomal RNA is filed under the name Salmonella enterica. RNAcentral describes it as "partial 23S ribosomal RNA". It matches the Rfam family "Bacterial large subunit ribosomal RNA", at positions 2053 to 2307 of the family's 2925-position model. Lineage: Bacteria; Pseudomonadati; Pseudomonadota; Gammaproteobacteria; Enterobacterales; Enterobacteriaceae. The record is from RNAcentral. RNAcentral also lists the same sequence under 2 other names.
GUGAAGAUGCAGUGUACCCGCGGCAAGACGGAAAGACCCCGUGAACCUUUACUAUAGCUUGACACUGAACAUUGAGCCUUGAUGUGUAGGAUAGGUGGGAGGCUUUGAAGCGUGGACGCCAGUCUGCGUGGAGCCGACCUUGAAAUACCACCCUUUAAUGUUUGAUGUUCUAACGUGGACCCGUGAUCCGGGUUGCGGACAGUGUCUGGUGGGUAGUUUGACUGGGGCGGUCUCCUCCUAAAGAGUAACGGAGGA